UAAGGAAUAUUGGUCAAUGGGCGGAAGCCUGAACCAGCCAUGCCGCGUGCAGGAAGACGGCCCUACGGGUUGUAAACUGCUUUUAUACGGGAAUAAACCCCCGAAUGUAUUCGGGGCUGAAUGUACUGUAAGAAUAAGGAUCGGCUAACUCCGUGCCAGCAGCCGCGGUAAUACGGAGGAUCCAAGCGUUAUCCGGAUUUAUUGGGUUUAAAGGGUGCGUAGGCGGCCUUUUAAGUCAGGGGUGAAAGACGGUAGCUCAACUAUCGCAGUGCCCUUGAUACUGAAGGGCUUGAAUACACUAGAGGUAGGCGGAAUGUGACAAGUAGCGGUGAAAUGCAUAGAUAUGUCACAGAACACCAAUUGCGAAGGCAGCUUACUAUGGUGUGAUUGACGCUGAGGCACGAAAGCGUGGGGAUCAAACAGGAUUAGAUACCCGCGUAGUCC
RNAcentral lists this ribosomal RNA (444 nucleotides) under uncultured bacterium. RNAcentral describes it as "bacterial SSU rRNA". It matches the Rfam family "Bacterial small subunit ribosomal RNA", at positions 355 to 796 of the family's 1533-position model. The record is from RNAcentral.